UACCAGCACCCCGAGUGGUCGGGACGAUUAUUGGGCGUAAAGAGCUCGUAGGCGGUCUGUCGCGUCGGAUGUGAAAAUCCAGGGCUCAACCCUGGACCUGCAUUCGAUACGGGCAGACUAGAGUUCGGUAGGGGAGACUGGAAUUCCUGGUGUAGCGGUGAAAUGCGCAGAUAUCAGGAGGAACACCGGUGGCGAAGGCGGGUCUCUGGGCCGAAACUGACGCUGAGGAGCGAAAGCGUGGGGAGCAAACAGG
This 253-nucleotide ribosomal RNA is filed under the name uncultured bacterium. RNAcentral's name for it is "partial 16S ribosomal RNA". The stretch from base 27 to 253 matches the Rfam family "Bacterial small subunit ribosomal RNA", at positions 550 to 776 of the family's 1533-position model. The record is from RNAcentral.